GCCUAUGUUCAGCAGUGGACGUCCUACGGCUGAAAUGAUGAUGAUGAUGAUGAUAAAAUGUUGCUUUAUUUAAAUUCCUACGCUAAAAAUUAUCCAUUUGUAUUUAAUGCCACUAUGCAGUCCUAGUUUAACUAUUACGAGAAAAACUCAUUUUUGCAGUUUUCAUACUAGUUGCUAUUCAAGUAGCCAUAAGAUAAAAAUAAUACAGAAUACAUAGGCUUGUGAUACCUUUUUAGAAUCUCAAUUAACCAAAGAAGUUUUUAAGGUAAUGGGCACGAUGGUCUUCCUACAUUUUUUUUACACGAUGGCUGAUCGAAAGUGCAAGACAAUGAAUUAAUUUUUCCUUCUCUUCUGCAAUUUCUUAAAAUUUUCAUACUUUCAAACUAGUUUGUUGAACUUUGAUCUUUUCUUUUGAUAGCCCAACUAUCCCUUGUGAUAAGGAAAAAAACUAGAUUGAAAAGUAUCCUCACUUGUAGAAAUGGCAUGAGAAAAAGUAAUUGCAGAUGGCAAUUUUCUAAAAAUGCACAAAAACUUAAAAAUCUUGAAAACGGUGAUAUUUUUACUGGGGUCAAAAAUGGACGUUAGGGAGAUCAUGGCGAGGCCUAUCGAUGGUUACAGGGUUAUCCAUUGUUUUUGGGACACCCUGUAUAAGUAAAUAUUGUUCUGUGUAUAACAUUAAAUUUUAACUUCCCCCUUCCCAAUAACUUUGUUUGUGAUGUACGUGUACGUUUGCAAUGUGUUGUUUUGUUUUAGGUGGCGAGUUUUAUGUUAAAGAAUCUAAACAAUUAAGUUCUCGAGAUACCCACAUAUUAAGUAAAUACCGGCCAAUAACCAAAAGUCACGUGUAUCUCUCUAACUACUUGACAUUGGCAGAAUCACUGCGUGGCGCUCUGCGCGCUUCAGCGGGACAGUCCAUCCCAAAAAAAAAAAUAUAGACCUAUAGGAUUACCGUGAUACAAUAGUUCAUGUAGUUUUAUACAGCCAACUUUUGGUCGGUACCUACUACAGACGAUAUUGAAGAAUGCUAAUGCUUUCAUAACUUUCUUUUAAAUUAGGCUGCGGAAGAAUCCGAUAGCUUUAUACAGUCAUCUCGCGCAAAAUUCUCGCAUAACCGGUUCGUUUCUAUAGUUAAGGAAAAAAUGUACCUUUUAAGUAUUUUGACCUUAUAAAGGUUGCAGGAAGACCGGUCUGCCUGGUGGAUUUUAACCAGCUGAUUGAGAAAUAAUUUAAAUCAUUGGGAGUGAGGAGAGAAGCCUAUGUUCAACAGCGAACAUCCUAUGGUUGAAAAAUAAUGAUGAUGAUGAUAAAGUGAUCACUGAGCCGUAUGUUAUAAGGUGCUUGUAUGAAGCUUUCAUGCGUUGCCCGUUGUCCUACAAUAGUUCUGUGGGUAUAAUGAUUUUAUAUAGGUAGUAUAGGUACCAACGAAAACUAAUUAAUUACCCGUGAUACGACGAUACUGCUAGUAAAGCAGUAUCAUCAAGUUUAGUUUCAUUAUUCAAGUUCAGUGGUUUUCAACCUUUUUCAUGACACGACCCUAGUAUGAAAAAAUAUUUGGCGACCCCCCCGACCGUUCGCUUUUUUUUCAUACAUUUUAUAAUGUUACAAAGAUACAACAUCAUGUCUUUAUUGGCUCUGUGCACGAUUACAGCGCCAACUAGCGUCCACAACUUUGUGGGCUCUGUCACAUUGACGUUUAGGUCGUAUAUUUGUGAAAAAAUAUCAAAAUGAAAAAAUAACAAAUAUUUUCAACUAAUAAAUUGUUGUGAUACCACGAUUUGUGUGGAAAAAAGGUUUUGAAAUCAUUUUGGUCAUUCAAAUCAAAUGAGAUUGAAAUGAGUAUUGUUUUGAAGACCGGGUUUGUGAGUUUUACAAUAUCAAAUUCCAACCACAAACCGUAUUUUAAGGAAAUUUGUUGGUAUAGCCAAUACAAGUCCGAGAUGUAGAAGAAUUAAGAACAAAGUAAGGGCAGAGUUAAAUAAUUCACGCUCUCAUCAUAAGGCAAACAUCUGUGCACAACAACUACUGUGACUCAUUUUUGUACUACCACGUUGUAUAGUCUAGUUGUUUCCAAAUUGUAAACGGCUAUUAAACCAGCCCUAUCGAAAUACA
Molecule: long non-coding RNA, 2109 nt
Organism: Ostrinia nubilalis (European corn borer)
Lineage: Eukaryota; Metazoa; Arthropoda; Insecta; Lepidoptera; Crambidae
Exons: 2
Source: RefSeq, a predicted model, not a curated record